UUUUUAAUUUAUUAAGUCAUUCUUUGGAGAACACUCAACCAUCCAUUCAUAAGCAUGGAUCCUUAAACAAAGACAACUUCCAUGAGAAGGGCCCCAACAUGGAUAAUUCAACAAGUUUUCCACUAGAUCUCAUGAAAGGAAAAAAGGUCAAGUUUCCAUACAAUACCAUGAAAGAUGGGAGACUUACAAUCUCACUUACUAGAAUGCUAUGCUUUUAGGGUCAAAUUUAGCUAUAU
RNAcentral lists this long non-coding RNA (236 nucleotides) under Lathyrus oleraceus (garden pea). RNAcentral's name for it is "Pisum sativum (pea) long non-coding RNA (PSAT_LNC007645)". Lineage: Eukaryota; Viridiplantae; Streptophyta; Magnoliopsida; Fabales; Fabaceae. The record is from RNAcentral.